Molecule: ribosomal RNA, 253 nt
Filed under: uncultured bacterium
Lineage: Bacteria
Description: partial 16S ribosomal RNA
Rfam family: Bacterial small subunit ribosomal RNA
Source: RNAcentral
UACGAAGGGGGCUAGCGUUGCUCGGAAUCACUGGGCGUAAAGGGUGCGUAGGCGGGUCUUUAAGUCAGGGGUGAAAUCCUGGAGCUCAACUCCAGAACUGCCUUUGAUACAGCAAGUCUUGAGUUCGAGAGAGGUGGGUGGAAUUCCUAGUGUAGAGGUGAAAUUCGUAGAUAUUCGGAAGAACACCAGUGGCGAAGGCGGCUCACUGGUCCGGUACUGACGCUGAGGUGCGAAAGCGUGGGGAGCAAACAGG